This 73-nucleotide transfer RNA is filed under the name Felis catus (domestic cat). It matches the Rfam family "tRNA". From Rfam's summary of the family: Transfer RNA (tRNA) molecules are approximately 80 nucleotides in length. Their secondary structure includes four short double-helical elements and three loops (D, anti-codon, and T loops). The record is from Rfam by way of RNAcentral. Lineage: Eukaryota; Metazoa; Chordata; Mammalia; Carnivora; Felidae. RNAcentral also lists the same sequence under 1 other name.
ACCUGGCUGGCUCAGUCGGAAGAGCAUGUGACUCUCGAUCUCGGGGCUGUGAGUUCGAGCCCCACGUUAUGUG